RNAcentral lists this small RNA (128 nucleotides) under Rhizobium sp. N113. RNAcentral's name for it is "miscellaneous other RNA". The stretch from base 55 to 128 matches the Rfam family "Alphaproteobacterial ar14", at positions 1 to 75 of the family's 123-position model. From Rfam's summary of the family: Smr14C2 was renamed NfeR1 (Nodule Formation Efficiency RNA) highly expressed in salt stress and during the symbiotic interaction on legume roots. Lineage: Bacteria; Pseudomonadati; Pseudomonadota; Alphaproteobacteria; Hyphomicrobiales; Rhizobiaceae. RNAcentral also lists the same sequence under 6 other names. The record is from RNAcentral.
GAUGGCGCCCCGGCCCGGCACCGCCGGACGCCCGCGGAUUGCUUUGUCCGUGACGAGAUUCGCAGCCGCGCACUCCUCCUCCCAAGCGCGCUGCGAUGGACUGGCAACACUCCUCCUCCCAGUUGCCA